Molecule: long non-coding RNA, 2305 nt
Organism: Oncorhynchus keta (chum salmon)
Lineage: Eukaryota; Metazoa; Chordata; Actinopteri; Salmoniformes; Salmonidae
Exons: 6
Source: RefSeq, a predicted model, not a curated record
GGUCCAUCACCAUCAGGAAGAUGCUGGGCAGCAGCAGGUUCACAGUGUAGAACAGAGGUCUGCGUCGGAUCACCACCUGAUCACGUUCAUCAUGAUCAUCAUCAUCAAUAGAGCAGUAAUUAACAUAAAUUAGUCAUGAACAGGAGUCAAUGUUGUCCAGACUGAAGCGCUUGUAUUUAGACAGGACGUGAAGAAGCUCCCACUCCCCCUGGUUCAUGAAGACACUCUUGUCCACCUUGAGUUCCUCUGUGCUCCUCAUCAGCUUGAGAUCGAUGUCAUUAACUAAAGACACAGAGGAGACCGAGACCAGUGGGUUCAGAUCAAUAGCUCCAGCUGGCCCACAGUAGCAGCAGAGUGCUGGCGUAGACGACCAGGAUGAACAGGUAGACUCGGAAAAGAAGGAUGUCCACCUUGCAGCAGAGGGCCACCCAGUCGGCCUGGGCCAAAUCGUCACUCUCCCCUUCUUGCAGGUAGAGCCGCAGGGCCACCACCUCCUGGAGCAGCCUCUCCAGCCGUGGAGCACUCUCCUGGAGCUCGCUCAGGGACAGUAGGUCCUCCUCUGGAGCCAGGUCAAACUCAUAGCCUGGAGGGACGACAUGAACUAGGAAGCUAGAGAUGUUGUCAACAUGUAAACGUGUCAGAGCUGGCCAUUACAAAUGAAAGGGAAUCAGAAAUCUGAGGCUAACCUGAGUGAAGCCAGCUGCGGAAGGUCAGAGUACAGUUCUGCUUAUCGAAAGGGAAGGCGUACAGCUCCAGGUCACAUGCAGACACCACCUGGAUGGGUUUGUUGUUCUUCACCAUCCCGGACGAGUUGACAUACACAUAGGGGAUGGCAGGGGACUCCCCUACAUCCACACUAACAGGGGGAGGACCACAGACUUAUGGGAAUACAUAUGGUGUCAAAUCUUACAAUUCACUGAUGAUGAGAUCGGGCACCCAUAUAGCAUCAGAGGACAGGGAGAUCUCAGUGAUCCCGUCAAACUCCUCGGGGUCCCACACCAGGAACUCAUCGGUCCAGAUCUGACAUCACAAACGGGAAACGCAUCACAAGACCAUUCAUAUGAAGUACAUGACAGAUGGGUGCAUGACUGUUUUGGCAUUCAACAACUCAAUUGUUGCAUGCCAAACACGGUUGAAGUUGCAUUUGCUGAAGCAGGCUCCCUGUCUUCCAGACAUGUUAUACAGUACCUUCAGAAAGUAUUCAUACACAUUGACUUAUUUUGUGUUGUAAUCCAUUUUGAAUUCAGGUUAUAACUUUUUUUCUCUCUCACCCAUCUACACACUACCCCAUAAUAGCAAACUGAAAACAUGUGUUUAGAAAUGUUUGCAAAUUUAUUGAAAAUGAAAUACAGAAAUAUCUAAUUUACGUAAGUACUUAAUUUACGUAAGUAUUUACGUACUUUCUGGGUUAGUCUCUAAGAGCUUUGCACACCUGUUAUUGUUUUCAAAAUUCUUCAAGCUCUGUCAAAUUGGUUGUUGGUCAUUGCUAGACAACCAUUUUCAAGUUUUGACAUACAUUUUCAAUCAAAUUUAAGUCAAAACUGUGACUCAGUCACUUGAGAAUAUUUUCUUGGUAAGCAACUCAAGUGUAGAUUUGGCCUUGUGUUUUAGGUUAUUGUCCUGCUGAAAGGUGAAUUAAUCUCUGUGUCUGAUGGAAAGCAGACUGAACCAGGUAUUCCUCUAGGACUCUGCUUAUGCUUAGCUCCAUUCCGUUUCUUUUUUUUAUCCUGAAAAACUCCCCAGUCCUUAAAGGAAAAUUCCACCCAAAAACUACCUUUUGGUAUUUGUUUCAUUCAUCCAUUGUUGACAUGGUCCCAAACGGUUUUGCUUCUCAGCAAUCAAGUUUUCAAUAUAUGUAACUUUCAAAAUACGUAUUUAGAUGUUUUGAAAGUUACAUACAGUAUCUUGAAGACUUGAUUGCUGACAAGCAAAACCGUUUGGGACUAUCAUUAACACCGAUAAGAGAAGACAAUUCAUACCAACCUGUCGGUACCAAAUGCUUGUGGUUACUUGCUGGGUCUUUCCAUCCUGUAAAAAGUAGAUUUGUAUUAUAUUUUUGUGUGUAAAUUGUUUGGGCAGAUUAUUGAAAUGUUUAAAUACAAAUUGUCAAAAUGUAUUUAUUGAAACAAUAUUAACAUUUCAUACAAAUUGUAUGAAAUGUUAAUCUUUUAAAUGAUCAUUUUGACAAUGUUUUAAUUUCUUGUGUUACAUAUUACCAGAAGCAUGGCAGGUAGUAAGUAGUAUUGUAUUUUAUAUUUAAAUAAUGACGGAUUUAGAUGAGGCCAUAUAGUUAUUUUUCUUUACC